Mucilaginibacter pedocola is the source of this 35-nucleotide regulatory RNA element. It matches the Rfam family "DUF805b RNA". Rfam says of the family: Bacteroidetes, Chlorobi (1 example), Proteobacteria. NCBI's taxonomy places the organism in Bacteria, Pseudomonadati, Bacteroidota, Sphingobacteriia, Sphingobacteriales, Sphingobacteriaceae. The record is from Rfam.
CAAGGGAACGCUGAAAACCUUUAACAGAGUAAGCA